RNAcentral lists this ribosomal RNA (321 nucleotides) under Fusarium sp. SW166. Its description in RNAcentral is "LSU rRNA". It matches the Rfam family "Eukaryotic large subunit ribosomal RNA", at positions 331 to 670 of the family's 3401-position model. Lineage: Eukaryota; Fungi; Ascomycota; Sordariomycetes; Hypocreales; Nectriaceae. The record is from RNAcentral.
AGACCGAUAGCGAACAAGUAGAGUGAUCGAAAGAUGAAAAGAACUUUGAAAAGAGAGUUAAAAAGUACGUGAAAUUGUUGAAAGGGAAGCGCUUGUGACCAGACUUGGGCUUGGUUGAUCAUCCGGGGUUCUCCCCGGUGCACUCUUCCGGCUCAGGCCAGCAUCAGUUCGCCCCUGGGGGAUAAAGGCUUCGGGAAUGUGGCUCUCUCCGGGGAGUGUUAUAGCCCGCUGCGUAAUACCCUGUGGCGGACUGAGGUUCGCGCAUUCGCAAGGAUGCUGGCGUAAUGGUCAUCAGUGACCCGUCUUGAAACACGGACCAAG